This 795-nucleotide ribosomal RNA is filed under the name uncultured bacterium. RNAcentral's name for it is "bacterial LSU rRNA". It matches the Rfam family "Bacterial large subunit ribosomal RNA", at positions 169 to 1015 of the family's 2925-position model. The record is from RNAcentral.
GGUUAACGAAGCAAACCCGGCGAAGUGAAACAUCUCAGUAGCCGGAGGAAAGGACAUCAAUUGAGACUCCGUUAGUAGUGGCGAGCGAACGCGGACCAGGCCAGUGGCAAUUUGUUAAGAACCGGAACCGUCUGGAAAGUCGGACCAUAGUGGGUGAUAGUCCCGUACGGGUAGAAAGACAUUUUGUCCUCGAGUAGGGCGGGACACGUGAAAUCCUGUUUGAACAUGGGGGGACCAUCCUCCAAGCCUAAGUACUCCUUGAUGACCGAUAGUGAACCAGUACCGUGAGGGAAAGGUGAAAAGCACCCCGACGAGGGGAGUGAAAGAGACCUGAAACCGAAUGCUUACAAGCAGUGGGAGCACCCUUGAGGUGUGACCGCGUACCUUUUGUAUAAUGGGUCAGCGAGUUAAUUUUGCGAGCAAGCUUAAGCCGUUAGGUGUAGGCGCAGGGAAACCGAGUCUUAAUAGGGCGCAUGAGUUCGUAGGAUUAGACCCGAAGCUUGGUGAUCUAGCCAUGAGCAGGUUGAAGGUGCGGUAACACGUACUGGAGGACCGAACCCACUUAUGUUGAAAAAUGAGGGGAUGACUUGUGGUUAGGGGUGAAAGGCCAAUCAAACCAAGUAAUAGCUGGUUCUCCGCGAAAUCUAUUUAGGUAGAGCGUUGUGUAUUGCCAUCGGGGGUAGAGCACUGGAUGGGCUAGGGGUCCCCACAGGAUUACCAAACCUAACCAAACUCCGAAUACCGAUGAGUAUGAGCACGGCAGACAGACGGCGGGUGCUAAGGUCCGUCGUCGAA